GUGCUUCGGCAAGACCCUCUGACGCUCAAGUCAGUACUCUGCCUCAAUAGAAAUAGAGCACUCGAAUGGGAUUUUAACAGAGUUUUGAGAUAGUGUUUAGAGCUUAGGGGAGAAUGUAUCUGAGGGGUCUCUUUUAUAGACGGGAGAGCAUAACCGAUUGACAACGACGUCCACAACUGCCUGAUAGUGGGCGGUUCGGGGCCACGUGGAGUUUGUUACGGAGAGUAGUGGUGUCUGUUGUCACGACCUGUCGGAGAGUGGUGGGGCCAUGUGGAGUUUGUUACAGGGAGUGGAGUGGUGUCCAUUGUCGCGACUUGCCGAGGAGUUCG
RNAcentral lists this long non-coding RNA (329 nucleotides) under Elaeis guineensis (African oil palm). RNAcentral's name for it is "long non-coding RNA (EGUI_LNC052721)". Lineage: Eukaryota; Viridiplantae; Streptophyta; Magnoliopsida; Arecales; Arecaceae. The record is from RNAcentral.